This 352-nucleotide unclassified non-coding RNA is filed under the name uncultured Acaulospora. RNAcentral's name for it is "sequence contains ITS1". The stretch from base 1 to 105 matches the Rfam family "5.8S ribosomal RNA", at positions 50 to 154 of the family's 154-position model. The record is from RNAcentral. Lineage: Eukaryota; Fungi; Glomeromycota; Glomeromycetes; Diversisporales; Acaulosporaceae.
GAAAUGCGAUACGUAAUGUGAAUUGCAGAAUACCGUGAAUCAUCAAAACCUUGAACGCAAAUUGCACUCCUGGGACAUCCCUCGAGUACACCUGUCUGAGUGCCAUUUCCAAUCACCUCACCAUACAACCUGGUGGAUGUUGAGCAUUGAUGGGCAAGUCCCACCAUCGCUUCAAGUGGAGGGGUCGUUGCGGGAUGGCAAGCACACCCAGACUGAUUGUUGAUUGCCCCUGGGCAUCCUCAUGAUUGGUCGAAGGUGAAGGCUUCCAACCCGUCAGACCUUUGAAAGGAAGGGCCCUGGCCCAAUUCAAAACUUUGACCUCAGAUCAGAUGAGAACACCCGCUGAACUUAA